This 543-nucleotide ribosomal RNA is filed under the name Boophis sandrae. RNAcentral's name for it is "partial 16S ribosomal RNA". The stretch from base 1 to 395 matches the Rfam family "Bacterial large subunit ribosomal RNA", at positions 716 to 1300 of the family's 2925-position model. The record is from RNAcentral. Lineage: Eukaryota; Metazoa; Chordata; Amphibia; Anura; Mantellidae.
CGAAACUAAGUGAGCUACUUUAAAACAGCCCCAGAGCUAACCCAUCUCUGUUGCAAUAGAGUGGGAAGAUUUUUAAGUAGAGGUGAUAAACCUAUCGAACCUAGAGAUAGCUGGUUUUUUAAGAAAAGAUUUUUAGUUCAGCCCUGAGUCUCCCCUUACGCAAAAAUCCAAUUAGACUCAGGAGUUAUUCAAAUAAGGCACAGCUUAUUUGAAAUAGGAUACAACCUAAGAAAAAGGGUAAGUUAGAUAAAACUCUUAAUAAGUGGGCCUAAAAGCAGCCACCUUUUAAAAAGCGUCAAAGCUUAGCAUUAGCAAUUUUCUCAAUGUCUUCAUCAACUUCCAACCCUUACCUACUAUUAAAAAACUCCAUAAUAAUAUGGAAGUUAUUAUGCUAGAACAAGUAACAAGAAAAAGACUUUCUCCAAAAUGCGAGCUUAAGCCAUAAUAGACCAACUAAUGGCAAUUAACGUCCAUAAGCCACUUGUAGGAACACCAACAAGAAAACCCUACAUAAAUUUUACCGUCAAUCUUACACCAGCGCAU